This 906-nucleotide ribosomal RNA is filed under the name uncultured bacterium. RNAcentral's name for it is "bacterial SSU rRNA". It matches the Rfam family "Bacterial small subunit ribosomal RNA", at positions 32 to 917 of the family's 1533-position model. The record is from RNAcentral.
AACGCUGGCGGCGUGCCUAAUACAUGCAAGUCGAACGCACUGACAGAGAAACUUGUUUCUCUUGACGUGAGUGGCGCACGGGUGAGUAACACGUGGGAAACCUACCCUUCAGCGGGGGAUAACCGUCGGAAACGAUGGCUAAUACCGCAUAGGUCUUUUAACCGCCUGGUUGAAAGAGGAAAGACGGCUUCGGCUGUCACUGAAGGAUGGUCCCGCGGUGCAUUAGCUAGUUGGUAAGGUAACGGCUUACCAAGGCGAUGAUGCAUAGCCGACCUGAGAGGGUGAUCGGCCACAUUGGGACUGAGACACGGCCCAAACUCCUACGGGAGGCAGCAGUAGGGAAUCUUCCGCAAUGGACGAAAGUCUGACGGAGCAACGCCGCGUGUGUGAAGAAGGUCUUCGGAUCGUAAAGCACUGUUAUUAGAGAAAAACAACCGGUAGAGUAACUGUUACCGGCUUGACGGUAUCUAACCAGAAAGCCACGGCUAACUACGUGCCAGCAGCCGCGGUAAUACGUAGGUGGCAAGCGUUGUCCGGAUUUAUUGGGCGUAAAGGGAGCGCAGGCGGUGACUUAAGUCUGAUGUGAAAGCCCACGGCUCAACCGUGGAAGGUCAUUGGAAACUGGGUCACUUGAGUGCAGAAGAGGAAAGUGGAAUUCCAUGUGUAGCGGUGAAAUGCGUAGAUAUAUGGAGGAACACCAGUGGCGAAGGCGACUUUCUGGUCUGUAACUGACGCUGAGGCUCGAAAGCGUGGGGAGCAAACAGGAUUAGAUACCCUGAUAGUCCACGCCGUAAACGAUGAGUGCUAAGUGUUGGAGGGUUUCCACCCUUCAGUGCUGGAGUUAACGCAAUAAGCACUCCGCCUGGGGAGUACGGUCGCAGACUGAAACUCAAAGGAAUUGACGGG